This 363-nucleotide ribosomal RNA is filed under the name Heterosigma akashiwo. RNAcentral's name for it is "partial Bacterial small subunit ribosomal RNA". It matches the Rfam family "Bacterial small subunit ribosomal RNA", at positions 311 to 691 of the family's 1533-position model. The record is from RNAcentral. Lineage: Eukaryota; Raphidophyceae; Chattonellales; Chattonellaceae.
CACUGGGACUGAGACACGGCCCAGACUGCUACGGGAGGCAGCAGUGGGGAAUCUUAGACAAUGGGCGCAAGCCUGAUCUAGCCAUGCCGCGUGAGUGAUGAAGGCCUUAGGGUCGUAAAGCUCUUUCGCCUGUGAAGAUAAUGACUGUAGCAGGUAAAGAAACCCCGGCUAACUCCGUGCCAGCAGCCGCGGUAAUACGGAGGGGGUUAGCGUUGUUCGGAAUUACUGGGCGUAAAGCGCGCGUAGGCGGUUUUUUAAGUCUGAUGUGAAAGCCCACGGCUCAACCGUGGAGGGUCAUUGGAAACUGGGAAACUUGAGUACAGAAGAGGAAUGUGGAACUCCAUGUGUAGCGGUGGAAUGCGU